RNAcentral lists this ribosomal RNA (253 nucleotides) under uncultured prokaryote. Its description in RNAcentral is "partial 16S ribosomal RNA". It matches the Rfam family "Bacterial small subunit ribosomal RNA", at positions 524 to 776 of the family's 1533-position model. The record is from RNAcentral.
UACGUAGGGACCAAGCGUUGUUCGGAUUUACUGGGCGUAAAGGGCGUGUAGGCGGCAAUUCAAGUCAUCUGUGAAAUCUCCGGGCUUAACCCGGAACGGUCAGAUGAUACUGCUUUGCUAGAGUGCGGAAGGGGCAAUCGGAAUUCCCGGUGUAGCGGUGGAAUGCGUAGAGAUCGGGAAGAACAUCGGUGGCGAAGGCGGCCUGCUGGGCUCUUGCUGACACUGAUGCGCGACAGCGUGGGGAGCAAACAGG